CUUCGUUGGGCGGCCCCAGGGCGGGGCCGCAGCCUUCUUGUGAGGUGCCCGCCGGAGGUAUAAAACUCUGUAUUAUAUUAGUCUCUCUGAGUGAUUUACAAAAUAAGUCAAAACUUUCAACAACGGAUCUCUUGGUUCUGGCAUCGAUGAAGAACGCAGCGAAAUGCGAUAAGUAAUGUGAAUUGCAGAAUUCAGUGAAUCAUCGAAUCUUUGAACGCACAUUGCGCCCGCUAGUAUUCUAGCAGGCAUGCCUGUUCGAGCGUCAUUUCAACCCUCAAGCUUUGCUUGGUGUUGGGGUUCUACUUUGUAGGCCCUAAAAACUAGUGGCGGGCUCGCUAUAACUCCGAGCGUAGUAGUAAUAUAUCGCUAGGGAAGUGUAGCGGGUUCUAGCCGUAAAACCCCCCACUUUAAAAGGUUGACCUCGGAUCAGGUAGGAAUACCCGCUGAACUUAAGCAUAUCAAUAA
This 465-nucleotide small RNA is filed under the name Cordana inaequalis. RNAcentral describes it as "eukaryotic LSU rRNA". The stretch from base 112 to 265 matches the Rfam family "5.8S ribosomal RNA". Lineage: Eukaryota; Fungi; Ascomycota; Sordariomycetes; Coniochaetales; Cordanaceae. The record is from RNAcentral.